This 719-nucleotide small RNA is filed under the name Arabidopsis thaliana (thale cress). RNAcentral describes it as "ATSL248170". The record is from RNAcentral. Lineage: Eukaryota; Viridiplantae; Streptophyta; Magnoliopsida; Brassicales; Brassicaceae.
UCCGGGUUGGAAUAGUGCAGCUUUUGCCAUGUUUAUCAAGAGUUCAAGACGGGAUUAUACAACAAUCAGACUAGAGUUAAAAGAGAUAAUCAAUAAAGCACGCACAACUUUCACACUAUGUUAAUUUAGGGCAUGACUGGUUUAAACGCAGUGGGUGCGGUUGCGGUUGCGUUAUCAAGCGUUUUGAACGACUGGUUGAGCGUUUGAUAAUGGAUGCGUUUGCGAAAAUUUUAUGACUGGUAAACCAGCGGGUACGAUAGUAAUUAAAUAAAAAUAACCAAAAUAAAUAUAAUAUAUUACUAUUAAAAGAAAUAAAAAUACAAUAUAUUAUGAUAAACUGAUAAUAUUAGAAAAAUUGAUUUUUUGACCAAACAAAAAUACAAUAUAUCAUCUCGUCCGGCCAAAUGAUUUUCUAAUCGAGAAAACAAAUCGAAAAAUGUAUUCAAUCAAAAAACUCAAAACAAUACAAAAUAAAAUAAAAACAACGAUGCCAUGAAAUAGUAAAAGAAUUACACUAGCUAAUGAAUGAAUAAAAGGAUAGAUGAUACUUAUGUUUGAUUCUUGAUUUUGAUUUUCAUCGGAUGCCAUAAUUGAGAGAAUAGAGUUACAAUAUAUUGAUUAGGGUUUUCUAAUAAAAAUAAGAUAUAUAAAAGAUUAGAUUAUUUUAAUUAUAGUGAUUAGGGUUUGGGUGGAAGCCACAAUUAUUUUAAUUAAUUAAA